GACGAACGCUGGCGGCGCGCUUAACACAUGCAAGUCGAGCGAUGAAAUUUCGACAGAUCCCUUCGGGGUGAAGAUGAAAUGGAUUAGCGGCGGACGGGUGAGUAACACGUGAGUAACCUGCCUUUGACAUUGGGAUAGCCUCGGGAAACUGGGAUUAAUACCAAAUGACACUAACUGAUCACAUGAUCAAUUAGUCAAAGAAAUUCGGUCAAAGAUGGACUCGCGGCUGAUUAGCUAGUUGGUGAGGUAACGGCCCACCAAGGCGACGAUCAGUAGCCGGGCUGAGAGGGUGAUCGGCCACAUUGGAACUGAGACACGGUCCAAACUCCUACGGGAGGCAGCAGUGGGGAAUAUUGCACAAUGGGGGAAACCCUGAUGCAGCGACGCCGCGUGAGCGAAGAAGGCCUGCGGGUCGUAAAGCUCUUUUAUGAGGGAAGAUAAUGACGGUACCUAAAGAAAAAGCCCCGGCUAACUACGUG
Molecule: ribosomal RNA, 479 nt
Filed under: uncultured bacterium
Lineage: Bacteria
Description: partial 16S ribosomal RNA
Rfam family: Bacterial small subunit ribosomal RNA
Source: RNAcentral